ACGUAGGUGGCAAGCGUUGUCCGGAAUUACUGGGUGUAAAGCGCGUGUAGGCGGGAAUGCAAGUCAGAUGUGAAAUCUUGGGGCUCAACCUCAUGGCUGCAUCUGAAACUGUGUUUCUUGAGUAUCGGAGAGGAAAGUGGAAUUCCUAGUGUAGCGGUGAAAUGCGUAGAUAUUAGGAGGAACACCAGUGGCGAAGGCGACUUUCUGGACGAUUACUGACGCUGAGACGCGAAAGCGUGGGGAGCAAACAGGAUUAGAUACCCUGGUAGUCCACGCUGUAAACGAUGGAUACUAGGUGUAGGAGGUAUCGACUCCUUCUGUGCCGGAGGUAACACAUUAAGUAUCCCACCUGGGAAGUACGAUCGCAAGAUUG
RNAcentral lists this ribosomal RNA (373 nucleotides) under uncultured bacterium. RNAcentral describes it as "bacterial SSU rRNA". It matches the Rfam family "Bacterial small subunit ribosomal RNA", at positions 525 to 896 of the family's 1533-position model. The record is from RNAcentral.